GCAACCUACCUUCAUCUGGGGGAUAGCCCGGAGAAAUCCGGAUUAACACCGCUUAAAAUCACAGUAUAGCAUUAUACAAUGAUCAAAUAUUUAUAGGAUUAAGAUGGGCAUGCGUGUCAUUAGUUAGUUGGCGGGGUAACGGCCCACCAAGACAGCGAUGACUAGGGGAUCUGAGAGGAUGACCC
Molecule: ribosomal RNA, 185 nt
Filed under: uncultured Bacteroidota bacterium
Lineage: Bacteria; Pseudomonadati; Bacteroidota
Description: uncultured Bacteroidetes bacterium partial 16S ribosomal RNA
Rfam family: Bacterial small subunit ribosomal RNA
Source: RNAcentral